Molecule: long non-coding RNA, 1135 nt
Organism: Cydia splendana
Lineage: Eukaryota; Metazoa; Arthropoda; Insecta; Lepidoptera; Tortricidae
Exons: 4
Source: RefSeq, a predicted model, not a curated record
AGUAGUUUGAAAGCAUAAAUAAAAAUAAAAUAAAUUCGUACCUAAGCAUCUCUACAUCUUGCUUUGUCAAAAUCUAUGCACUAAUCAGCUCAUUAGUCCCACUCAAACAGCCAUUCAUUAACUAUAAUAUAAUUAUGAGCCUUAUACUUCUUAUCAACUGUGAGCCAUGCGUCCGCCUCGGCAUUCGACGCGAGAGUGAACGGAAAACAGAAAACGUGCCAGACGCUCAUCUGAGCCGAGCGGGGAGGGGCUUACAGAUCUACCGACCUAUCCAUGUUACUAACACACAAUUAUAGACCCUGUUUCAAGGUAAUAAAGGCGUUAACAAUUCAGUAACAAAAUGGUACUGCACGCAUCCCGCCCCUCUAACGAAGGCCAACCAUUGGCUUAUUUAAAAAUCGAUUCCAUUUUAUAAAUAUGUAACCGUUGCGUCUUUCCGCUCUCCAAACGGCUUUAUACCGCAAACUUGCAACUAUGAAUUCAACCUUAUUUUGUAGGCGAGAAAUUUAAAUUUCGAAUAGCGAGAGCAUAGUGAUGUGCUGUUCAUUAUCGAUAUUGAGUCAAUUGUUUUACCGACAUGUCUACGUCUUUGUUUUAUUUAAAAGAGACCCACUAGAUGUUUUUUUCUCGACAGUUUCGUGACAGUUUUUUUAUGCGAUGAAAUAAACAAUGAAUGUCGUACUUACGUGGGUGAAAUUGAAACGGUCAUAAAUAAUGGUGUAUUUAUGAUUUAUGGAAAGUUAAAGAUACAGUGAAACCUGGACAAGAGGGACGUCGAGGGACCAGCAAAUUUGUCGCGCUUGAAGAGGAGUUCCUCUAAUUCAGUGUCUCGGAUAGCCAGGUAUAAAUAAGUAUAUAUACACACCAAAGUUGGCAAAGAUGAGGCUCCGGCGGAAGGUCUUGGAGUAGCGAAAGACGAGUGGCACCACGGCCACGUGGACCACCAGUAGCCCCGCAGUCAGCGCGCUUCCAAGUAGGAGCAACCUGCACCAAAAACGAUGUUCAGGGGAUAGACAUUGGUGCGGAACAAAAAAUAAAAGGUCGUCCUUGGAGACACCUGUAACUGGGCUAAGUGAUUACCGGAAACGACAUUGAAGGCAUUCAAUCGAAGACAUAAUAUGUAAGUCUAGAGGUC